CCAAAGGGGCAUACUUAGUACGGCGAGUGAGCGGUAAAAGCUCAAAUUUGAAAUCUGGUACUUUCAGUGCCCGAGUUGUAAUUUGUAGAAUUUGUCUUUGAUUAGGUCCUUGUCUAUGUUCCUUGGAACAGGACGUCAUAGAGGGUGAGAAUCCCGUUUGGCGAGGAUACCUUUUCUCUGUAAGACUUUUUCGAAGAGUCGAGUUGUUUGGGAAUGCAGCUCAAAGUGGGUGGUAAAUUCCAUCUAAAGCUAAAUAUUGGCGAGAGACCGAUAGCGAACAAGUACAGUGAUGGAAAGAUGAAAAGAACUUUGAAAAGAGAGUGAAAAAGUACGUGAAAUUGUUGAAAGGGAAGGGCAUUUGAUCAGACAUGGUGUUUUUUGCAUGCACUCGCCUCUCGUGGGCUUGGGCCUCUCAAAAAUUUCACUGGGCCAACAUCAAUUCUGGCAGCAGGAUAAAUCAUUAAGAAUGUAGCUACUUCGGUAGUGUUAUAGCUUUUUGGAAUACUGUUAGCCGGGAUUGAGGACUGCGCUUCGGCAAGGAUGUUGGCAUAAUGGUUAAAUGCCGCCCGUCUUGAACCACGGACCCA
Molecule: ribosomal RNA, 587 nt
Filed under: Hanseniaspora uvarum
Lineage: Eukaryota; Fungi; Ascomycota; Saccharomycetes; Saccharomycodales; Saccharomycodaceae
Description: eukaryotic LSU rRNA
Rfam family: Eukaryotic large subunit ribosomal RNA
Source: RNAcentral